GCAAGUCGAACGGUAGGAAAUCUUCGGAUUUCUGAGAGUGGCGAACGGGUGAGUAACACGUAGAUGAUCUACCUUUUAGUUGGGGAUAGCCCAUGGAAACAUGGAGUAAUACCGAAUAAUCUCUUUUUGCUUUAGCGAAUUGAGGAAAGCAGCGUUUGCUGUGCUAAAAGAUGAGUCUGCGCACUAUUAGCUAGUUGGUGGGGUAAGAGCCUACCAAGGCGACGAUAGUUAGCCGACCUGAGAGGGUGAUC
This 251-nucleotide ribosomal RNA is filed under the name uncultured bacterium. RNAcentral describes it as "partial 16S ribosomal RNA". It matches the Rfam family "Bacterial small subunit ribosomal RNA", at positions 57 to 305 of the family's 1533-position model. The record is from RNAcentral.